RNAcentral lists this unclassified non-coding RNA (2115 nucleotides) under Leishmania donovani. RNAcentral describes it as "gene:LdHU3.31.1010(CDS-product:C2_domain_containi ng_protein_putative)". Lineage: Eukaryota; Euglenozoa; Kinetoplastea; Trypanosomatida; Trypanosomatidae. The record is from RNAcentral.
UCUUUGUCUCUGUCGGCGCAUCUGUCAUUCUCCUCGGGAAUCUUCCAUCUCGUCAACACCCCUCUCGCCACCGAAUAUGGGCAAGAUAGAGGUGACGGUGUGUGCGGCACGAAAGCUGCACGAUUGCCAGCUGAUUGGCCUGCCAGACCCCUUUGUGCGGCUCGUCAUGGGCGACAAGAAGUACAAGACGCAGGUGGUGAAGAACAGCCUCAACCCGGCGUGGGGCGAGACGUUUCGCUUUCACAUCCCGGACGAAAUGAGCACGCAGCUUCGGCUGGAGGUAUGGAACAAGUGUACGUACAGCGAUGACCUCAUGGGCUACUACACGUUAUCCCUCGGUGGUCUGACAAAGGGCAUUGUGAAGGACCAGUGGUACAUACUAGAAAAGUCCAAGACGCAGGCAGAGCUGCACGUGCGCUUGUUGGCAGUUGACUUUGGCGCGCUUCCCAAGCAAGAGGAGCUGUGGAUGGUGACAACGGACAUCAACCGCGACCCGGUAAAGCGCGCAAUUGAGGACGGCACGUGGCGUCCGGGGCAGAAGACCGCCCCGCCGCAGCCCCAGCAGCAGGCGUACGCGUUGCCUGCUCCCGUUCCGCAGCAGCAACCACAGAACCUAGGAGUUCAAUGCGUCACCGUCUCGCCACAGCAAGUUCCGUAUGUCCCCCUGCUGCCGGUACAGUACGUGCCCCUGCCGCAAGCUCAGUAUACUCCUCAGCCGCAGCCAGUGCAGUACGUCCAGCAGCAACCGCCUCAGGGCUACUAUCAGCCGCGCCCGCCGCUGCCGCAGCCCAGCUACUACCCGCCUGGCCCCCCGUCACCGCUGCAGUCUGGCUACCACCAGCAGCCGCCAGUGCCGAGCCAGCAGGUGUACUACACGCAGCUGCCUUCACAGUGCUACGCGCCACAGCCGCAGUACCAGUACUAGGCGAAAGCAACGGCCACGGGUGAACGUUCUAAUGUGGUUUAUCGCUACCGAUUACGUGCGGCAGAGAAAAAGAGAGAGACAGAUGCAGACGAAAGCCGUGAACCGGAUGCUGUUGGAUUCUCCGGCUCUUGCGCAUGCGCACACACUCCCCUGCAUAUAUAUGUGUAUAUAUAUGUGUAUCUAUAUAUAGUUCUCGUACCCUUCAUAGACAUUCUCUUCUGGAAUGCGCUUCUGUCUUUGUCGUCUGCUCCUAUCUCCUGUUUGUGUCUUUGCCGUGCCUGAUGGCGGUGCGGUGAUGGGGUCGGCGGUGGGCUUCUGCCGGCCACUUUAUAUGUUUGAGCUUUUCCUACGUUUGGUUGCUCUUCUCCUCCCUCCACCCUCUAUCAGAAUUCUCCUCUUUCUGCGUUGCCCGUCACUCCCUGUCGUAGACUUCACGGUGGUCUCCGCCUCACUGAGUGGACGUGUAUGCAGUUACGUAUACGUGUGUAUGUCUAUGCGUGUGUAUGUGUGUUGUUUUCUUUUUCCUCAUCCUCCCCCCCCGCAUGCCUGCAUCUCUGUUGCUCUGAAUUCGGAUGCGCGUCGAUUUGCGUGCGUCUAAGGUACGUGCGCGCCCAACACCUCUGUGAGGGCUGUGAUGCUCAGCAGUAGCGGGAAGGCAAAGACAGAGGAGGAGGUGACUGAAAGGCGUUUCUGGUGGUUGCAAGUGCUCCUGAGAGCUGGCAUCCGCUUCCUCCACACCCCCUCCGCAGCCCCACGCGCCACCGUCUCCUGUCUUUUUCACCAGUCGAUUCCUGCCCCCGGGCCUUCUCCCUCUUUCUCUGCUCCUUUCCCUUCCUGCCGCAUCGAUGCAGCUGCCCCUUUUGUCUUCGCUUCUUGUCCCUCUUCAUGUCUGUUCCUUAUCUGCAUAAGUGUGUGGAUCCGCGAGUGGAGCGCGGAAAGACACCGAAUACAAAAGAAAACACGAUACUCGCCUUGCCCACUUCGGAACCUCACCUUUCGGCCUCUCUGCCUCGCGUGUGUGAGGAAACAUGGCUGCAGAUGCUCUUGGUACCCCAGCAUCCCGUGAGGCGGGCACUUGCGCGCCAAAGACACUAAAGAUGAGGCGCUUUCCCAAUCGCCAUCAGAGUCGCCCCCUUCCUAUGUUCUUCUCUUCACGUCCACGCCACGGUCCGAUCGAUCUGUGUCUCUAC